This is a long non-coding RNA of Cyprinus carpio (common carp), 1421 nucleotides long. NCBI's taxonomy places the organism in Eukaryota, Metazoa, Chordata, Actinopteri, Cypriniformes, Cyprinidae. The record is from Ensembl.
CUAAAAAUCUAGCUCACAUUUCAUUUUAAGUUAGUUUACUAUAAAACAAGAAUAAAAAAAAAAGCAUUCCUUUAUUUAUUUAUGCAAUUUGUAGUUUUGAAGUUUUUGAGAAUUCACCCUCUCGCUCAAUAACAAAAGGUGAAGCUGACCCCUCUUUUCUCCUCUCCACUCCGGCUCCCUGACAGAGAAACAAAUCUAAGAUGGCUGAUGAUAAAGUAUUGUGGUUUGAGAAGGUAGGCUGCAAGUGCCAGGACUUCAUUUGUGUCAGGCGCUCCAUGAUAGUAAUGAAUUUCUGUGGUGAACCUGAGACUGAGAGAAACAGAAUCUGGUGAGUGGUACGUGCAAGCAGUACUAGUCAAUCUCUGCAAUCCCUUUUAGAUUUUAUCUGCACAGUCCUGUCAUUCCCUAUCAUCGCCAUACCACAUACUUGUGUCAUGCUUACAAAGUAUCACUCUCAUUUUUGCUUUUUCCAGCUUGGCCAAUGAUCAUCUACCCUCCCAAAUCACUCUCGAACCUACAUUUUAGACAAAGCAUGUGUGAUCGAAAGACUUCAAAAGGUGGAAUCGGAGCAGCGGAGAAGGCUUAAUUGCUCCCAGUGAGUGAUGCCAGAGGACUUGAUUAGACCCCGGACCACUUCUCAUGUUCUUCAUUUGUGCGGCGACGACCUUCCGCGGUGAUGGGCUCAAGAGAGAAACAUGAUCUAUUGGUGAGCAAGUGAUGUAAUGCUAAAUUUCUCUAAAUCUGUUCAGAUAAAGAAACAAACUCAUCUUGGAUGGCCUGGGGGGCUGACAGACCCUGGACCCCACUCCAUUACCCUUGGGAGCCUGGCAGUUACAUGUAGACAUGUGUAUCAGAUCACAUAGGAGAGGAUUUGGAGGGAGAAAGCAAGAUGGAGUAUAUAAAAAAGAGAGAGGUGGGCAGUGAAGUGAGUCAGUGAAUAUUUUGUAGGAGCUGAGACUUCUCCCACAAGUACUGAGCAAUAUUACCUUUCAUAGAAACUGUGACAUGUUAGCUGAACAAAUAAUAUUCCUGGAAUUUAUUUUAUUUUUUUACAUGCCUUUACAUGAAAACAUUUGACCAAAAAUGAAGGUUUAAAGUUAUAAUGCCUUAAUUAUGCAUUUGUUUAUUACAAACAUGCAGCAACUGAUGGACUGGAGUUAUGUGAAUUACUUGUGUAUUUUUGUGGUUUUUAUCAGCUGUUUGAACUUUCAGUCUGAUGGCACCCAUUCACUGCAAAGGAUCCUUUAAUGAGCAAAUGAAGAAAUAGACUCCUCUACAUCAUGAAUGACCUGAAAGUGAUUACAUUUUCAUCGAUUUUUCAUUUUUGGCUAAACUAUUCCUGUAAUGUUUCUUAUUAUGUUUAAGAUUUUGAUAUUCUCAUACUGAAAUAGAGGCUUAUUUUGAUCAACCUCACCUUGAAU